GGCCUUUCCACGGUCUCCGUGACGCAGCUAACGCAUUAAGUUCCCCGCCUGGGGAGUACGGCCGCAAGGCUAAAACUCAAAGGAAUUGACGGGGACCCCCACAAGCGGCGGAGCAUGCGGAUUAAUUUGAUGCAACGCGAAGAACCUUACCAAGGCUUGACAUACACCGGAAACGUCUGGAAACAGUCGCCCCUUUUUGGUCGGUGUACAGGUGGUGCAUGGUUGUCGUCAGCUCGUGUCGUGAGAUGUUGGGUUAAGUCCCGCAACGAGCGCAACCCUCGUUCUAUGUUGCCAGCACGUUAUGGUGGGAACUCAUGGGAUACUGCCGGGGUCAACUCGGAGGAAGGUGGGGAUGACGUCAAAUCAUCAUGCCCCUUAUGUCUUGGGCUUCACGCAUGCUACAAUGGCCGGUACAAAGGGCUGCAAUACCGUGAGGUGGAGCGAAUCCCAAAAAGCCGGUCUCAGUUCGGAUUGAGGUAUGCAACUCGACCUCAUGAAGUCGGAGUCGCUAGUAAUCGCAGAUCAGCAACGCUGCGGUG
This 539-nucleotide ribosomal RNA is filed under the name Microbacterium barkeri. RNAcentral's name for it is "bacterial SSU rRNA". It matches the Rfam family "Bacterial small subunit ribosomal RNA", at positions 827 to 1364 of the family's 1533-position model. Lineage: Bacteria; Bacillati; Actinomycetota; Actinomycetes; Micrococcales; Microbacteriaceae. The record is from RNAcentral.